UACGUAGGGGGCAAGCGUUGUCCGGAUUUAUUGGGCGUAAAGAGCGUGUAGGCGGCUGGGUAGGUCCGUUGUGAAAACUCGAGGCUCAACCUCGAGACGCCGAUGGAAACCCUCCAGCUAGAGUCCGGAAGAGGAGAGUGGAAUUCCUGGUGUAGCGGUGAAAUGCGCAGAUAUCAGGAAGAACACCCGUGGCGAAGGCGGCUUUCUGGACCACUACUGACGCUGAGGAGCGAAAGCGUGGGGAGCGAACAGG
RNAcentral lists this ribosomal RNA (253 nucleotides) under uncultured bacterium. RNAcentral's name for it is "partial 16S ribosomal RNA". It matches the Rfam family "Bacterial small subunit ribosomal RNA", at positions 524 to 776 of the family's 1533-position model. The record is from RNAcentral.